GAAGAUGACAGCCUGGGGCGUACGGCCGCAAGGUUGAAAUUCAAAGGAAUUGUCGUGGGACCCGCACAAACGGUGGAGGAUGUGGUUUAAUUAGAUGCAACGUGAAAAACCUUCCUAAUCUUUGACAUGUACGGAAGCCUUUAGAGAUACAGGCGUGCUUGAAAGAGAGCAGUAACACAGGUGGUGCAAGGCUGUUAUCAGCUUCUUUCGUGAGAUGUUGGGUUAAGUUCCGCCACGAGCGCCACCCUUGUCAUUAGUUGAUACAUUCAGUUCGGCACUCUAAUGAGACUGCCGGCGACAAACCGGAGGAAGGUGGGGAUGACGUCAAGUCCUCAUGGCCCUGAUAGGUGGGGCUCCCCACGUCAUACAAUGGAUGGUACAAAGGGUUGCCAACCCGCGAGGGGGAGCUAAUUCCAUAAAACCAGUCGUAGUCCGGAUGGCAGUCUGCAACUCGACUGCGUGAAGUCGGAAUCGCUAGUAAUCGUGGAUCAGAAUGUCUCGGUGAAUACGUUCCCGGGUGUUGUACACACCGCCUGUCACUAACAGGGGAGCGGGUCUCCCCAGAAGUAGU
Molecule: ribosomal RNA, 571 nt
Filed under: uncultured bacterium
Lineage: Bacteria
Description: bacterial SSU rRNA
Rfam family: Bacterial small subunit ribosomal RNA
Source: RNAcentral